CGCGAGGUAACCAAGCGGCAAGGUGCGGCUCUGCAAAAGCUGAUUCGCCGGUUCAACUCCGGCCCUCGCGUCCA
Molecule: transfer RNA, 74 nt
Filed under: Candidatus Pacearchaeota archaeon
Lineage: Archaea; Nanobdellati
Description: tRNA-Cys
Rfam family: tRNA
About the family: Transfer RNA (tRNA) molecules are approximately 80 nucleotides in length. Their secondary structure includes four short double-helical elements and three loops (D, anti-codon, and T loops).
Source: RNAcentral